This 585-nucleotide ribosomal RNA is filed under the name uncultured bacterium. RNAcentral's name for it is "bacterial SSU rRNA". It matches the Rfam family "Bacterial small subunit ribosomal RNA", at positions 224 to 801 of the family's 1533-position model. The record is from RNAcentral.
GAUGGACCCGCGCCGUAUUAGCUAGUUGGUAAGGUAACGGCUUACCAAGGCGACGAUACGUAGCCGACCUGAGAGGGUGAUCGGCCACACUGGAACUGAGACACGGUCCAGACUCCUACGGGAGGCAGCAGUAGGGAAUCUUCCGCAAUGGGCGAAAGCCUGACGGAGCAACGCCGCGUGAGUGAUGAAGGGUUUCGGCUCGUAAAACUCUGUUAUUAGGGAAGAACAAAUGUGUAAGUAACUGUGCACAUCUUGACGGUACCUAAUCAGAAAGCCACGGCUAACUACGUGCCAGCAGCCGCGGUAAUACGUAGGUGGCAAGCGUUAUCCGGAAUUAUUGGGCGUAAAGCGCGCGUAGGCGGUUUCUUAAGUCUGAUGUGAAAGCCCACGGCUCAACCGUGGAGGGUCAUUGGAAACUGGGAAACUUGAGUGCAGAAGAGGAAAGUGGAAUUCCAUGUGUAGCGGUGAAAUGCGCAGAGAUAUGGAGGAACACCAGUGGCGAAGGCGACUUUCUGGUCUGUAACUGACGCUGAUGUGCGAAAGCGUGGGGACCAAACAGGAUUAGAUACCCUGGUAGUCCACGCC